RNAcentral lists this ribosomal RNA (468 nucleotides) under uncultured bacterium. RNAcentral's name for it is "partial 16S ribosomal RNA". It matches the Rfam family "Bacterial small subunit ribosomal RNA", at positions 28 to 507 of the family's 1533-position model. The record is from RNAcentral.
GACGAACGCUGGCGGCGUGCUUAACACAUGCAAGUCGAACGGAAAGGCCCUGCUUUUGUGGGGUGCUCGAGUGGCGAACGGGUGAGUAACACGUGAGUAACCUGCCCUUGACUUUGGGAUAACUUCAGGAAACUGGGGCUAAUACCGGAUAGGAGCUCCUGCUGCAUGGUGGGGGUUGGAAAGUUUCGGCGGUUGGGGAUGGACUCGCGGCUUAUCAGCUUGUUGGUGGGGUAGUGGCUUACCAAGGCUUUGACGGGUAGCCGGCCUGAGAGGGUGACCGGCCACAUUGGGACUGAGAUACGGCCCAGACUCCUACGGGAGGCAGCAGUGGGGAAUAUUGCACAAUGGGCGGAAGCCUGAUGCAGCAACGCCGCGUGCGGGAUGACAGCCUUCGGGUUGUAAGCCGCUUUCGCCUGUGACGGAGCGUGAGUGACGGUAAUGGGUAAAGAAGCACCGGCUAACUACGUG